Molecule: ribosomal RNA, 665 nt
Filed under: Riemerella anatipestifer
Lineage: Bacteria; Pseudomonadati; Bacteroidota; Flavobacteriia; Flavobacteriales; Weeksellaceae
Description: bacterial SSU rRNA
Rfam family: Bacterial small subunit ribosomal RNA
Source: RNAcentral
CAGCUUAACUGUAGAACUGCCGUUGAUACUGCUAGUCUUGAGUAUAGUUGAGGUAGCUGGAAUGAGUAGUGUAGCGGUGAAAUGCAUAGAUAUUACUCAGAACACCGAUUGCGAAGGCAGGUUACCAAGUUAUAACUGACGCUGAGGGACGAAAGCGUGGGGAGCGAACAGGAUUAGAUACCCUGGUAGUCCACGCCGUAAACGAUGCUAACUCGUUUUUGGGCUAUAUGGUUCAGAGACUAAGCGAAAGUGAUAAGUUAGCCACCUGGGGAGUACGACCGCAAGGUUGAAACUCAAAGGAAUUGACGGGGGCCCGCACAAGCGGUGGAUCAUGUGGUUUAAUUCGAUGAUACGCGAGGAACCUUACCAAGGCUUAAAUGGGAAUUGACAGCUGUAGAAAUACGGUUUUCUUCGGACAAUUUUCAAGGUGCUGCAUGGUUGUCGUCAGCUCGUGCCGUGAGGUGUUAGGUUAAGUCCUGCAACGAGCGCAACCCCUGUCACUAGUUGCCAUCAUUAAGUUGGGGACUCUAGUGAGACUGCCUACGCAAGUAGCGAGGAAGGUGGGGAUGACGUCAAAUCAUCACGGCCCUUACGCCUUGGGCCACACACGUGAUACAAUGGCCGGUACAGAGGGCAGCUACACUGCGAAGUGAUGCAAAUCUCGA